Molecule: ribosomal RNA, 502 nt
Filed under: uncultured bacterium
Lineage: Bacteria
Description: partial 16S ribosomal RNA
Rfam family: Bacterial small subunit ribosomal RNA
Source: RNAcentral
AUUGAACGCUGGCGGCAGGCUUAACACACGCAAGUCGAGCGGGGUGAUGGUGCUUGCACUAUCACUUAGCGGCGGACGGGUGAGUAAUGCUUAGGAAUCUGCCUAUUAGUGGGGGACAACAUCUCGAAAGGGAUGCUAAUACCGCUUACGUCCUACGGGAGAAAGCAGGGGAUCACUUGUGACCUUGCGCUAAUAGAUGAGCCUAAGUCGGAUUAGCUAGUUGGUGGGGGAAAGGCCUGCCAAGGCGACGAUCUGUAGCGGGUCUGAGAGGAGGAUCCGCCACACUGGGACUGAGACACGGCCCAGACUCCUACGGGAGGCAGCAGUGGGGAAUUUUGGACAAUGGGGGCAACCCUGAUCCAGCCAUGCCGCGUGAGUGAAGAAGGCCUUCGGGUUGUAAAGCUCUUUCGGCCGGGAAGAAAUCGCAUAGGUUAAUACCCUGUGUGGAUGACGGUACCGGAAUAAGAAGCACCGGCUAACUACGUGCCAGCAGCCGCCGUAA